CCUACGGGUGGCUGCAGUGAGGAAUAUUGGUCAAUGGGCGUGAGCCUGAACCAGCCAAGUCGCGUGAGGGAAGACGGUCCUAUGGAUUGUAAACCUCUUUUGUCGGGGAGCAAAAGACGCCACGCGUGGCGUUUCGAGAGUACCCGAAGAAAAAGCAUCGGCUAACUCCGUGCCAGCAGCCGCGGUAAUACGGAGGAUGCGAGCGUUAUCCGGAUUUAUUGGGUUUAAAGGGUGCGAAGGCGGGUUAUAAAGUCAGCGGUAAAAUUGUGAGGCUCAACCUCUUCGAGCCGUUGAAACUGGGGUUCUUGAGUGAGUGAGAGGUAUGCGGAAUGCGUGGUGUAGCGGUGAAAUGCAUAGAUAUCACGCAGAACUCCGAUUGCGAAGGCAGCAUACCGGCGCUCAACUGACGCGCAUGCACGAAAGUGUGGGUAUCGAACAGGAUUAGAUACCCCGGUAGUC
RNAcentral lists this ribosomal RNA (459 nucleotides) under uncultured bacterium. RNAcentral's name for it is "partial 16S ribosomal RNA". It matches the Rfam family "Bacterial small subunit ribosomal RNA", at positions 338 to 795 of the family's 1533-position model. The record is from RNAcentral.